UUGAGGGGGAGAAUCUGAAUCUUUAAGUAAGCAAACUCAUUAAAUCUAUAUAAGCCAAACAAUUGAUUGCAUGACAUGAAGGCUUAUAUAAUUCCAAAUGAAAGGAGGAGCUUUAACUUCAAAAUUUACUGUUUCACACCUUUCAGUUUUGGAUAAAUUAAAAUAACUAGACAUUUGAAUUCAUUUUAAAAUUUUACUAUAAAUCUCCUUGUUUGUUGAGCAAUUCAAUUUACAUAUACUCAAUGUUUUGUC
This 252-nucleotide long non-coding RNA is filed under the name Phoenix dactylifera (date palm). Its description in RNAcentral is "long non-coding RNA (PDAC_LNC012083)". Lineage: Eukaryota; Viridiplantae; Streptophyta; Magnoliopsida; Arecales; Arecaceae. The record is from RNAcentral.